UGGGGAAUAUUGCGCAAUGGGCGAAAGCCUGACGCAGCAACACCGCGUGAGGGAUGACGGCCUUCGGGUUGUAAACCUCUUUCAGCUCCGACGAAGCGAAAGUGACGGUAGGAGCAGAAGAAGCACCGGCUAACUACGUGCCAGCAGCCGCGGUAAUACGUAGGGUGCAAGCGUUGUCCGGAAUUAUUGGGCGUAAAGAGCUCGUAGGCGGUCCGUUGCGUCUGCCGUGAAAACCCGGAGCUCAACUCCGGGCCUGCGGUGGAUACGGGCGGACUAGAGUCCGGUAGGGGAGACUGGAAUUCCUGGUGUAGCGGUGGAAUGCGCAGAUAUCAGGAGGAACACCGGUGGCGAAGGCGGGUCUCUGGGCCGGAACUGACGCUGAGGAGCGAAAGCGUGGGGAGCGAACAGGAUUAGAUA
RNAcentral lists this ribosomal RNA (417 nucleotides) under uncultured bacterium. Its description in RNAcentral is "bacterial SSU rRNA". It matches the Rfam family "Bacterial small subunit ribosomal RNA", at positions 355 to 784 of the family's 1533-position model. The record is from RNAcentral.